UUUAUGGAGAGUUUGAUCCUGGCUCAGAGUGAACGCUGGCGGCGUGCCUAAUACAUGCAAGUCGAACGAUGAAGCUUUUAGCUUGCUAGAAGUGGAUUAGUGGCGCACGGGUGAGUAAGGUAUAGUUAAUCUGCCCUACACAAGAGGACAACAGUUGGAAACGACUGCUAAUACUCUAUACUCCUGCUUAACACAAGUUGAGUAGGGAAAGUUUUUUUCGGUGUAGGAUGAGACUAUAUAGUAUCAGCUAGUUGGUGAGGUAAUGGCUCACCAAGGCUAUGACGCUUAACUGGUCUGAGAGGAUGAUCAGUCACACUGGAACUGAGACACGGUCCAGACUCCUACGGGAGGCAGCAGUAGGGAAUAUUGCGCAAUGGGGGAAACCCUGACGCAGCAACGCCGCGUGGAGGAUGACACUUUUCGGAGCGUAAACUCCUUUUCUUAGGGAAGAAUUCUGACGGUACCUAAGGAAUAAGCACCGGCUAACUCCGUGCCAGCAGCCGCGGUAAUACGGAGGGUGCAAGCGUUACUCGGAAUCACUGGGCGUAAAGGGCGCGUAGGCGGAUUAUCAAGUCUCUUGUGAAAUCCAACGGCUUAACCGUUGAACUGCUUGGGAAACUGGUAGUCUAGAGUGAGGGAGAGGCAGAUGGAAUUGGUGGUGUAGGGGUAAAAUCCGUAGAUAUCACCAAGAAUACCCAUUGCGAAGGCGAUCUGCUGGAACUUAACUGACGCUAAGGCGCGAAAGCGUGGGGAGCAAACAGGAUUAGAUACCCUGGUAGUCCACGCCCUAAACGAUGUACACUAGUUGUUGGGGUGCUAGUCAUCUCAGUAAUGCAGCUAACGCAUUAAGUGUACCGCCUGGGGAGUACGGUCGCAAGAUUAAAACUCAAAGGAAUAGACGGGGACCCGCACAAGCGGUGGAGCAUGUGGUUUAAUUCGAAGAUACGCGAAGAACCUUACCUGGGCUUGAUAUCCUAAGAACCUCUUAGAGAUAAGAGGGUGCUAGCUUGCUAGAACUUAGAGACAGGUGCUGCACGGCUGUCGUCAGCUCGUGUCGUGAGAUGUUGGGUUAAGUCCCGCAACGAGCGCAACCCACGUAUUUAGUUGCUAACGGUUCGGCCGAGCACUCUAAAUAGACUGCCUUCGUAAGGAGGAGGAAGGUGUGGACGACGUCAAGUCAUCAUGGCCCUUAUGCCCAGGGCGACACACGUGCUACAAUGGCAUAUACAAUGAGACGCAAUACCGCGAGGUGGAGCAAAUCUAUCAAAAUAUGUCCCAGUUCGGAUUGUUCUCUGCAACUCGAGAGCAUGAAGCCGGAAUCGCUAGUAAUCGUAGAUCAGCCAUGCUACGGUGAAUACGUUCCCGGGUCUUGUACUCACCGCCCGUCACACCAUGGGAGUUGAUUUCACUCGAAGCCGGAAUACUAAACUAGUUACCGUCCACAGUGGAAUCAGCGACUGGGGUGAAGUCGUAACAAGGUAACCGUAGGAGAACCUGCGGUUGGAUCACCUCCUUUCUA
RNAcentral lists this ribosomal RNA (1519 nucleotides) under Campylobacter lari. Its description in RNAcentral is "bacterial SSU rRNA". It matches the Rfam family "Bacterial small subunit ribosomal RNA". The record is from RNAcentral. Lineage: Bacteria; Pseudomonadati; Campylobacterota; Epsilonproteobacteria; Campylobacterales; Campylobacteraceae.